Molecule: ribosomal RNA, 484 nt
Filed under: uncultured bacterium
Lineage: Bacteria
Description: partial 16S ribosomal RNA
Rfam family: Bacterial small subunit ribosomal RNA
Source: RNAcentral
AUUGAACGCUGGCGGCAGGCCUAACACAUGCAAGUCGAGCGGAUGAAGGGAGCUUGCUCCUGGAUUCAGCGGCGGACGGGUGAGUAAUGCCUAGGAAUCUGCCUGGUAGUGGGGGAUAACGUCCGGAAACGGGCGCUAAUACCGCAUACGUCCUGAGGGAGAAAGUGGGGGAUCUUCGGACCUCACGCUAUCAGAUGAGCUUAGGUCGGAUUAGCUAGUUGGUGGGGUAAAGGCCUACCAAGGCGACGAUCCGUAACUGGUCUGAGAGGAUAAUCAGUCACACUGGAACUGAGACACGGUCCAGACUCCUACGGGAGGCAGCAGUGGGGAAUAUUGGACAAAGGGCGAAAGCCUGAUCCAGCCAUGCCGCGUGUGUGAAGAAGGUCUUCGGAUUGUAAAGCACUUUAAGUUGGGAGGAAGGGCAGUAAGUUAAUACCUUGCUGUUUUGACGUUACCAACAGAAUAAGCACCGGCUAACUUCGUG